RNAcentral lists this ribosomal RNA (253 nucleotides) under uncultured bacterium. RNAcentral describes it as "partial 16S ribosomal RNA". It matches the Rfam family "Bacterial small subunit ribosomal RNA", at positions 524 to 776 of the family's 1533-position model. The record is from RNAcentral.
UACGGAGGGGGCAAGCGUUAUUCGAAAUUAUUGGGCGUAAAGGGCGCGUAGGCGGCUAGAUGUGUCAAAGGUGAAAUCCCUCGGCUCAACUGAGGAACUGCCUUUGAAACUGUCUGGCUUGAGGCCGGGAGAGGGUAGCGGAAUUCCCAGUGUAGCGGUGAAAUGCGUAGAUAUUGGGAGGAACACCAGUGGCGAAGGCGGCUACCUGGACCGGUUCUGACGCUGAAGCGCGAAAGCGUGGGUAGCAAACAGG